CUCCAAGCACCAUAAUGACUACAGAGCAUUUCAGAAAGGUUUGACUUCUUACAUGGGGGCUACUGGAUGCCAAUAUCUGACACCACUGUGGUCUUCAGACCAACUGUCCAUUCUCUGCAAGUUAAAGGAACUUAUGCUAGGAAUACAAUCUUGUAUUCUUAACGUUGGUGUAAUCUAGCGGCUAUUUAGGUAAAACCCCUGCCCACAGAGUUUAACUUAUCCUAUAUCACCUGGCAUCCCAGU
Non-coding RNA from Pelobates cultripes (western spadefoot toad), 243 nucleotides. The record is from the annotation of a GenBank genome assembly. NCBI's taxonomy places the organism in Eukaryota, Metazoa, Chordata, Amphibia, Anura, Pelobatidae.